This 253-nucleotide ribosomal RNA is filed under the name uncultured bacterium. RNAcentral describes it as "partial 16S ribosomal RNA". It matches the Rfam family "Bacterial small subunit ribosomal RNA", at positions 524 to 776 of the family's 1533-position model. The record is from RNAcentral.
UACGAAGGGGGCUAGCGUUGCUCGGAAUCACUGGGCGUAAAGCGCACGUAGGCGGAUUGCUAAGUCAGGGGUGAAAUCCUGGAGCUCAACUCCAGAACUGCCUUUGAUACUGGGGAUCUCGAGUCCGGAAGAGGUGAGUGGAACUCCGAGUGUGGAGGUGAAAUUCGUAGAUAUUCGGAAGAACACCAGUGGCGAAGGCGGCUCACUGGUCCGGUACUGACGCUGAGGUGCGAAAGCGUGGGGAGCAAACAGG